UUAUUUUUCCUGCAUUUACUGCUUUUGCAUGGAUCCUUAUUUAUGUUGUCAUGCAUCACUUUGAAAGCACACACUUUACAUCCUAGGAUAAGUGGGGGAGUAACGGUACCCCAAUGACUUUAGUCUGGGUAAGACUCGUGAAACCAUCCAACUCUCGCUUGAUUGUUUACUUGGAAGUGGUUGAUAUGCCAAACUGAUAUUACUCAGGGCCUCUAUUUUCACACUACUUGUAAGCCUCAUAUCGACCUUUCAUGG
RNAcentral lists this long non-coding RNA (255 nucleotides) under Populus trichocarpa (black cottonwood). RNAcentral's name for it is "long non-coding RNA (PTRI_LNC004514)". Lineage: Eukaryota; Viridiplantae; Streptophyta; Magnoliopsida; Malpighiales; Salicaceae. The record is from RNAcentral.